AGUGUCAAUGUAAGAGCAGCAGAGUCCGCGAAGGUGGCUGUUACCAUUCCACAGACCUGCGGCGAGGACUGUCAAUCCGAUUCAGCAAAUAACCCCACCUCUCCAAGCCAGGACUCCAGAGCUGCCCUGUGUGGUGUCUCAGCAAGGAAAGCCAACAAAGCUGGUAGACACAGGCAGACCGUAGCCCACCGCCUGUGAGUGGAGGCUCCGAGCCGACUUCACCUCCUCCUCAGAGGGACCGGCCCGAUCCGAAAGGGCGGUCUCCAGGGGUCCCCAUCCCGCACCACGCACACAGCCUGGCGCAACUAAAGAGGAAGUCGGAUGUCACAUCCAACGGAUAAAUAAAGACAGCCCGGCCACACAAGAGCCGCAUUCUGGGCAGGACUCCUGCUAGGUUUGGGGAGGGGUCCCAGUCUGCGAUCCUUUCUCCCUCUUCGUGCAGCGUCCUCCUCCCCGGGGCCCGGGCCGGCGGCGCCCACGCAACGCGGCGCGGUGCGAGUCCCGAGAGCACCUCGAGCCCCCGGCCCCCUCCCCAGCCCCGCCGGGCCCGCGGCCGCCGCACUCCCGCACGCCGGCUGCCCAGCGCCCACGGGCCCUGCCCCAGACUCGGGCGCGCAGUUCCGACGGCCCAGGGCGGGGACGGCGCGGCGGAGGGGAGCUGCCGCCGCGGGCUCUCGGAGGCACCGGCGGCCGCACACAGUCCUCCCCUUCGCCGCGAGUAAACAGCUCGCGGGCGCGCUCCAGCCGCGCCCCCAUCCCCCCGCCGGGCUCCGCGCCGCCCCGCGCCCGCGCGUCCCGCCCGCCGGCGCCGCCGCCCGCUACCUGGUCGGUGAGUUUGAGCACUGCCAUUCUUCCGCUCCUUCGCGCGCACACACAUGCAGGUCCCCGGCCCGCAGAUGUCACGCCGGGAGCCGGGGAAGCGGAAGGGAUUGCCAGGAGAAGGGAAAAAAUCUGGCUCCCGAAUUUGACAGCCCUCCCCCUGCUCCUCCUCCGCCGCCGCCUCCUCCCGCCGAGAGGCUGACACUGGCUAGUGGGGUUUGCAGCCGAGCCCGCCCGCCUUUCCACAGGAAGUACCGGCUGCUGCCAGCCGGGCCGCCACUGACAUCACCGCGCGCUGGCUCGCUCGCCGCCCGCCGCCUGGGCCGACGCUGCCUCCUGCCGCCCGCAGCCGAGCCGCGCAGCCCGGCCCCCGGCGCUGCCCCCGCGCCCGCACCGGGCCGCCGCCUGCCUUCCGCACCUGCACGCGGCGCCCGGCCGGGCCGGCCCCGGGCCCUGGGCGGAUCGCGGGCCUCCCUGACGGGUCUCACACAUAUGGGUGGGGAAGCCCGCGGGGACACACCCCGAGGGGGCAGGAAAGGCUCUCACUCACAUGCCGUCCACUUUAACCGGGGAGAUGGGGUUACGCCCCCUUCCCCUAACCCAGAAUCAGGUGGUGGCAGCGCCCCGAAGAUCCCAGGGACCGCAAUUAUGAUGCUCCCUUUGUUUAAUGCCAGGAGGCAGCGGACACAUUGUGAUUCUUUACAGGGUGUUUGCCAAACAUUUAUGGGUGGAGGGAACAGAAGCUCUGGCCCUUCCACCUUGUUCUCCAGCCACUUUCCAGCUAAACACACACACACAUAUGCACACACACAUACUAUUGUUAAAUUCAAACACCCUGGGUUUGGUUUUUGCUGGUGGGGGUGGAGUGGAGUUCCUGGAGAAGCAAAGCAGUCCUAAAUCACCGAGUUGAUGGGUCUUUUGGGUGUUCCCACCAGUCCUUACUGAUCUCUACAAAAUCCCAAGUUACCAAGCUCUUCAACAAAUAGAAGACAGCUGUCAAACACCAUGGGCUACAGAUACAACGGGCAUAUUCAGCCAUCUUUCAGAAGAGUGAUAACAAAUGACUUAAUUUGGAAGAUUCACUCAAGAUCCAAUUUGAUUCAUCGCGGACAUGCCUGCACCUAAGUUCCUGGGGCCAAAGUGAGGAGGCAGCAGUUCUCCACCCAAUCAGACCAUCAUCCUCUUUUUGUAACUAGUAUCUUUAACACUCCCCUUACUAUCCUGAAAGGUAAUUUGUGGAUAAUAUUACCUACCAAUACAAAUUUCAAAA
This 2089-nucleotide long non-coding RNA is filed under the name Homo sapiens (human). Its description in RNAcentral is "HSALNT0308132". Lineage: Eukaryota; Metazoa; Chordata; Mammalia; Primates; Hominidae. The record is from RNAcentral.